This 78-nucleotide transfer RNA is filed under the name Pseudomonadales bacterium. RNAcentral's name for it is "tRNA-Thr". It matches the Rfam family "tRNA". From Rfam's summary of the family: Transfer RNA (tRNA) molecules are approximately 80 nucleotides in length. The record is from RNAcentral. Lineage: Bacteria; Pseudomonadati; Pseudomonadota; Gammaproteobacteria; Pseudomonadales. RNAcentral also lists the same sequence under 2 other names.
GCCGCUAUAGCUCAGCUGUGGUAGAGCAACUGACUUGUAAUCAGUAGGUCCCGGGUUCGACUCCUGGUGGCGGCACCA